RNAcentral lists this ribosomal RNA (326 nucleotides) under uncultured bacterium. RNAcentral's name for it is "bacterial SSU rRNA". It matches the Rfam family "Bacterial small subunit ribosomal RNA", at positions 28 to 339 of the family's 1533-position model. The record is from RNAcentral.
GACGAACGCUGGCGGUGUGCCUCAAACAUGCAAGUCGAGGGAGGGUUGGCGAGUGGCUUGCCAUUCGUUCAACUCUACCGGCAAACGGGUGAGUAACACGUGGGAAACCUGCCCUGAAGACGGGGACAACUUCGGGAAACCGGGGCUAAUACCCGAUACCCUCCACGGGGGGCAUCCUCUGUGGAGGAAAGGUUCCGCAAGGUUCGCUUCAGGAGGGUCCCGCGGCCUAUCAGCUAGUUGGUGGGUAACGCCUACCAAGGCUAUGACGGGUAGCUGGUCUGAGAGGACGAUCAGCCACACUGGGACUGAGACACGGCCCAGACUCC